AUUGAACGCUGGCGGCAUGCCUUACACAUGCAAGUCGAACGGCAGCACGGACUUCGGUCUGGUGGCGAGUGGCGAACGGGUGAGUAAUAUAUCGGAACAUACCCUAGAGUGGGGGAUAACGUAGCGAAAGUUACGCUAAUACCGCAUACGAACUAAGGUUGAAAGUGGGGGAUCGCAAGACCUCAUGCUCAUGGAGUGGCCGAUAUCUGAUUAGCUAGUUGGUGAGGUAAAGGCUCACCAAGGCGACGAUCAGUAGCUGGUCUGAGAGGACGACCAGCCACACUGGAACUGAGACACGGUCCAGACUCCUACGGGAGGCAGCAGUGGGGAAUUUUGGACAAUGGGGGCAACCCUGAUCCAGCAAUGCCGCGUGAGUGAAGAAGGCCUUCGGGUUGUAAGCUCUUUGUCUAGGGAAGAAACGGUAGAUCUCUAAUAUAGAUUGCUAAUGACGGUACCUGAAGAAUAAG
RNAcentral lists this ribosomal RNA (467 nucleotides) under uncultured bacterium. Its description in RNAcentral is "bacterial SSU rRNA". It matches the Rfam family "Bacterial small subunit ribosomal RNA", at positions 30 to 490 of the family's 1533-position model. The record is from RNAcentral.